AGAGCUCUGUUUGUAAAAACUCUGGUAAAGUUUUCAUGUCACACUUCAACUGCCACUGAGGAACUGUAUCAGGGGACAGAUAGAAAUUGACCACUUGGGCCAGUGCCUGGCCACUUUCAGAUAAGCUUUGAACAAGGAAGAAAGAAAGGGAAAAUGCAGGAAGAAAAAUAAAAGAAGCGAAGAUUUUAAACACUAGUUGGCUUUUGAAGAGAAUAAAUAUUUACUUUGAAGAAAAGAUUUAUGAGGACUUAAAACAUCUUACUUAACUAGCUACAAAUAGCUCCUCCCUGGACUUUAUGUAGGGAGUAGAAAUCAUUCUCACCAAAAGAGUAAGGAAAUGUUGAAUCAAAGUUUCCUUUUCAGUCAUCUUUCCCAGACAGGAAGCUGUUAUCUGUCUUCUUUUAAAAGUGCUGCUUAUACCCUUGCAACUUAAAUUUAGCUCUGAGGCAGCCUCUCCUUUCUCCCUGUGGGGUACAAAUGGUGCUAAAUGGCAGACAGAUGUUAAACAAAGAUACCUUCCCACACAGCUUCCUUUGACUCUUUAAGUAAACUCCAAUCUCUAUUUUUUAAGAAAAUUGCAAGAUAAGCCUGUCAGAGGCCUCUGAAAUUAACAUAAUUCAGACCUCCUGCCAGUGUCCUAAAUCCUAAAAUAGUGAAUUUCCAAUGGUCUGCUAGCAAGCUGCAAGGCUUUCAAAGCAAAGCCAGCAUUCCAAGAUUGGACUAAACCCCCAAUGCUAACCUUAGCAUUGGGAACUUGAAGGCAGAGGAACCAAGAUAAAUGCCUCCUUGUAUAACUUGUAAAACCAUACAUUGAAAAGCUGGAGUCCUCCUGGUCUCUACUGUUAGAGAUUGCUAACCACAACAAAAUAAUAUCUUCACAUAUUUAUUGAGCUGCCCUAGGAACUUUACCUUCCAUGCCUCAUUUAAUCUUUACAACAAUCCUGUCAAAUGCUCAUUUACAGCUUCCAUUUCGAUGGACAACUCAAGCAGAGAGAAGUUAAGUAACAAGCCCAAGGUCACACAGCUAGCAGCUAGGCAGAAUUCAAUCCAAAGUCAACAUACAGUGCUUUUAAAGAAGAUUAAAUACACAAGAUGCUAAAAGAAAGAGGACACUUUCUUUCUUCUGAAGUGGCUGAAUGGUGUUCCCCUAAAAGACAUGUCCAUGUUCUAACUCCUGGAUUCAAUGAAUGUGACUUCUUUUAAAAGUGUCAUUUGGAAAAAGGGUCAUUUCAGAUAUAAUUAAUUGAAGGAUCUCAGGAUGAGAAUAUCCUGGACUAUGUGGCUUGGCCCUAAAUUCAAUGACACGUGUGCCUGUAAGACAAAGGCAGAAAAAGAUCUGACUUUGACAGAAAAGAAGACAGAGACACAGAGGAGAUGACCACGUAAAGACAGAGGCAGGAAUUGGAGUGAUGCUGACACAAGCUAAAGAGGCCUGGAGCCACCAGGAGGUGGAAAAGAACAAGGAAGCCUUCUCCCCUAGAGCCAUCAGAGGGAGCAUGGCUGCACUGACACCUUGAUCUUCUGGUUUCCAGGACUGUAUGACAAUAAAUUUCUAUUUUCAGCCACUGAA
Long non-coding RNA from Pan troglodytes (chimpanzee), 1570 nucleotides. RefSeq lists it as uncharacterized. The record is from RefSeq and is a predicted model, not a curated record. Lineage: Eukaryota; Metazoa; Chordata; Mammalia; Primates; Hominidae. The transcript is spliced from 3 exons.